GAUGAACGCUGGCGGCGUGCCUAACACAUGCAAGUCGAGCGAACGGACGAGAAGCUUGCUUCUCUGAUGUUAGCGGCGGACGGGUGAGUAACACGUGGAUAACCUACCUAUAAGACUGGGAUAACUUCGGGAAACCGGAGCUAAUACCGGAUGAUAUUUUGAACCGCAUGGUUCAAAAGUGAAAGACGGUCUUGCUGUCACUUAUAGAUGGAUCCGCGCUGCAUUAGCUAGUUGGUAAGGUAACGGCUUACCAAGGCAACGAUGCAUAGCCGGCCUGAGAGGGUGAUCGGCCACACUGGAACUGAGACACGGUCCAGACUCCUACGGGAGGCAGCAGUAGGGAAUCUUCCGCAAUGGGCGAAAGCCUGACGGAGCAACGCCGCGUGAGUGAUGAAGGUCUUCGGAUCGUAAAACUCUGUUAUUAGGGAAGAACAUAUGUGUAAGUAACUGUGCACAUCUUGACGGUACCUAAUGAGAAAGCCACGGCUAACUACGUG
Molecule: ribosomal RNA, 497 nt
Filed under: uncultured bacterium
Lineage: Bacteria
Description: partial 16S ribosomal RNA
Rfam family: Bacterial small subunit ribosomal RNA
Source: RNAcentral